Molecule: ribosomal RNA, 1330 nt
Filed under: uncultured bacterium
Lineage: Bacteria
Description: bacterial SSU rRNA
Rfam family: Bacterial small subunit ribosomal RNA
Source: RNAcentral
GACGAACGCUGGCGGCGUGCUUAACACAUGCAAGUCGAACGGACCCUUUGGGGUUAGUGGCGAACGGGUGAGUAACACGUGGGUGAUCUGCCCUGCACUUCGGGAUAAGCCUGGGAAACUGGGUCUAAUACCGGAUAGGACUACGCACUGCAUGGUGUGUGGUGGAAAGCUUUUGCGGUGUGGGAUGGGCCCGCGGCCUAUCAGCUUGUUGGUGGGGUGAUGGCCUACCAAGGCGACGACGGGUAGCCGGCCUGAGAGGGUGACCGGCCACACUGGGACUGAGAUACGGCCCAGACUCCUACGGGAGGCAGCAGUGGGGAAUAUUGCACAAUGGGCGCAAGCCUGAUGCAGCGACGCCGCGUGAGGGAUGACGGCCUUCGGGUUGUAAACCUCUUUCGCCAGGGACGAAGCGCAAGUGACGGUACCUGGAGAAGAAGGACCGGCCAACUACGUGCCAGCAGCCGCGGUAAUACGUAGGGUCCGAGCGUUGUCCGGAAUUACUGGGCGUAAAGAGCUCGUAGGUGGUUUGUCGCGUUGUUCGUGAAAACUCACAGCUUAACUGUGGGCGUGCGGGCGAUACGGGCAGACUGGAGUACUGCAGGGGAGACUGGAAUUCCUGGUGUAGCGGUGGAAUGCGCAGAUAUCAGGAGGAACACCGGUGGCGAAGGCGGGUCUCUGGGCAGUAACUGACGCUGAGGAGCGAAAGCGUGGGGAGCGAACAGGAUUAGAUACCCUGGUAGUCCACGCCGUAAACGGUGGGUACUAGGUGUGGGUCUCCUUCCUUGGGAUCCGUGCCGUAGCUAACGCAUUAAGUACCCCGCCUGGGGAGUACGGCCGCAAGGCUAAAACUCAAAGGAAUUGACGGGGGCCCGCACAAGCGGCGGAGCAUGUGGAUUAAUUCGAUGCAACGCGAAGAACCUUACCUGGGUUUGACAUGCACAGGACGCCGGCAGAGAUGUCGGUUCCCUUGUGGCCUGUGUGCAGGUGGUGCAUGGCUGUCGUCAGCUCGUGUCGUGAGAUGUUGGGUUAAGUCCCGCAACGAGCGCAACCCUUGUCUCAUGUUGCCAGCACGUUAUGGUGGGGACUCGUGAGAGACUGCCGGGGUCAACUCGGAGGAAGGUGGGGAUGACGUCAAGUCAUCAUGCCCCUUAUGUCCAGGGCUUCACACAUGCUACAAUGGCCGGUACAAAGGGCUGCGAUGCCGUGAGGUGGAGCGAAUCCUUUCAAAGCCGGUCUCAGUUCGGAUCGGGGUCUGCAACUCGACCCCGUGAAGUCGGAGUCGCUAGUAAUCGCAGAUCAGCAACGCUGCGGUGAAUACGUUCCCGGGCCU